AGGGCAAUCCCAAUAAAAAGCUAUGAACCUUGUCAGGUCCGGAAGGAAGCAGCAAUAAGUAGUGUAUUUAUGUGGGUAAUUGCUUUCCA
This 89-nucleotide signal recognition particle RNA is filed under the name Clostridium sp. Its description in RNAcentral is "signal recognition particle sRNA small type". It matches the Rfam family "Bacterial small signal recognition particle RNA". From Rfam's summary of the family: The signal recognition particle (SRP) is a universally conserved ribonucleoprotein involved in the co-translational targeting of proteins to membranes. Archaeal SRP consists of a 7S RNA and homologues of the eukaryotic SRP19 and SRP54 proteins. In most bacteria, the SRP consists of a 4.5S RNA and the Ffh protein (a homologue of the eukaryotic SRP54 protein). Lineage: Bacteria; Bacillati; Bacillota; Clostridia; Eubacteriales; Clostridiaceae. The record is from RNAcentral. RNAcentral also lists the same sequence under 4 other names.